This 279-nucleotide ribosomal RNA is filed under the name uncultured bacterium. RNAcentral describes it as "partial 16S ribosomal RNA". It matches the Rfam family "Bacterial small subunit ribosomal RNA", at positions 506 to 784 of the family's 1533-position model. The record is from RNAcentral.
UGCCAGCAGCCGCGGUAAUACGAAGGGGGCUAGCGUUGUUCGGAAUUACCGGGCGUAAAGCGCACGUAGGCGGACUUUUAAGUCAGAUGUGAAAUCCCAAGGCUCAACCUUGGAACUGCAUUUGAAACUGGGAGUCUAGAGAUCAGGAGAGGUUAGUGGAAUUCCUAGUGUAGAGGUGAAAUUCGUAGAUAUUAGGAGGAACACCAGUGGCGAAGGCGACUUGCUGGACUGUAACUGACGCUGAGGCUCGAAAGCGUGGGGAGCGAACAGGAUUAGAUA